This 849-nucleotide ribosomal RNA is filed under the name Alternaria cinerariae. RNAcentral describes it as "eukaryotic LSU rRNA". It matches the Rfam family "Eukaryotic large subunit ribosomal RNA", at positions 68 to 935 of the family's 3401-position model. RNAcentral also lists the same sequence under 1 other name. Lineage: Eukaryota; Fungi; Ascomycota; Dothideomycetes; Pleosporales; Pleosporaceae. The record is from RNAcentral.
ACAGGGAUUGCCCUAGUAACGGCGAGUGAAGCGGCAACAGCUCAAAUUUGAAAUCUGGCUCUUUUAGAGUCCGAGUUGUAAUUUGCAGAGGGCGCUUUGGCUUUGGCAGCGGUCCAAGUUCCUUGGAACAGGACGUCACAGAGGGUGAGAAUCCCGUACGUGGUCGCUGGCUAUUGCCGUGUAAAGCCCCUUCGACGAGUCGAGUUGUUUGGGAAUGCAGCUCUAAAUGGGAGGUACAUUUCUUCUAAAGCUAAAUAUUGGCCAGAGACCGAUAGCGCACAAGUAGAGUGAUCGAAAGAUGAAAAGCACUUUGGAAAGAGAGUCAAACAGCACGUGAAAUUGUUGAAAGGGAAGCGCUUGCAGCCAGACUUGCUUGCAGUUGCUCAUCCGGGCUUUUGCCCGGUGCACUCUUCUGUAGGCAGGCCAGCAUCAGUUUGGGCGGUAGGAUAAAGGUCUCUGUCACGUACCUCCUCUCGGGGAGGCCUUAUAGGGGAGACGACAUACUACCAGCCUGGACUGAGGUCCGCGCAUCUGCUAGGAUGCUGGCGUAAUGGCUGUAAGCGGCCCGUCUUGAAACACGGACCAAGGAGUCUAACAUCUAUGCGAGUGUUUGGGUGUCAAGCCCGAGCGCGUAAUGAAAGUGAACGGAGGUGGGAACCCGCAAGGGUGCACCAUCGACCGAUCCUGAUGUCUUCGGAAGGAUUUGAGUAAGAGCAUGGCUGUUGGGACCCGAAAGAUGGUGAACUAUGCUUGAAUAGGGUGAAGCCAGAGGAAACUCUGGUGGAGGCUCGCAGCGGUUCUGACGUGCAAAUCGAUCGUCAAAUUUGGGCAUAGGGGCGAAAGACUAAU